GUGGGGAAUAUUGGACAAUGGGCGAAAGCCUGAUCCAGCCAUGCCGCGUGUGUGAAGAAGGUCUUCGGAUUGUAAAGCACUUUAAGUUGGGAGGAAGGGCAGUAAGUUAAUACCUUGCUGUUUUGACGUUACCGACAGAAUAAGCACCGGCUAACUUUGUGCCAGCAGCCGCGGUAAUACGAAGGGUGCAAGCGUUAAUCGGAAUUACUGGGCGUAAAGCGCGCGUAGGUGGUUUUGUAAGUUGGAGGUGAAAUCCCCGGGCUCAUCCUGGGAACUGCCUCCGAAACUGCAUGACUAGAGUACGGUAGAGGGUAGUGGAAUUUCCUGUGUAGCGGUGAAAUGCGUAGAGAUAGGAAGGAACACCAGUGGCGAAGGCGACUACCUGGACUGCUACUGACGCUGAGGUGCGAAAGCGUGGGGAGCAAACAGGAUUAGAAACCCUAGUAGUCC
RNAcentral lists this ribosomal RNA (450 nucleotides) under uncultured bacterium. RNAcentral describes it as "partial 16S ribosomal RNA". It matches the Rfam family "Bacterial small subunit ribosomal RNA", at positions 354 to 796 of the family's 1533-position model. The record is from RNAcentral.